AAUUUUAUCUCUAUUCUAGAGUUAAAGAAACAGAAACACAGAGAGGUUAAGUAACUUGCCCAAGGUCACACAGCUAUGAAGUAGAAAAGUCAGGUUUCAAACCCAGGUCUCUGAAUCCUAUUCCAGAACUCAUGCUCUGAACUACUGCCUUCAGUUGCCAAGGAGAAGAAUGUCUGUAACUCCUUUCAGUGCAGCCAUCAGUGAUCUGCUCUAAGCAAUUAGGACAUGAGCUGCCUCAUUUAGACCCCUAACUCUUGGCUGCUCUGGUUCUGCCCUUGUGUGUUGCAAUAAUGUAUAACACCCUCAGAAGAAAGGGGGCUCCAAGGUUCUUGCGUUUUGUUAAUGGGAGAAGAGAUCAAAGAGGUUCCCCCCAAAGUUCCUAGUUGGAUGACCCAGAGAUGGUGGCAGUGCCAUGGAGGGGAGAAUCAAAUUCAGAAAGGGGAAGCCAGAGGCAAAAAAAAAGCAAACUUCCUACAAAUUCUCAGUUUGCCAAAGACUGGCUCUGCCUGGCUCUUUCCUUCCCAGGCACCCCUUCUGGCCUCCCCAGCCUCCCUUUCUGGCCUCCCCAGUCCCCAGCCCCUGAUCAGGAUGCAGCAUCACAGUGGGCUGUUUUUAAUCCUUGCUAGAUCUCUUUUAUUUUUUUCCCCCUUUGCCAGGCUUCCUGGGCUGUAAUUUUUCCCUCUGUGUCAUCCAUCACAGAUACAACGUCGCUUGUGCAAAUUAAAAUGCACCUCAGAAUAAUAAAAAAGGGGCCUUCUUUCCCCCCUCCUUUUCCUUCCCAGAAGCAACUCCUCAACACAAAACAUUUGUCUCUGGGCAAGAGCCCGAGCAUUAACCCUGCACGUGCCAUCACCAGGCCCAUAUAGUCCCAGCAGCCUUGUGUAACCAGUGAUCGGGGCCAGGGAAUGGCUAGAGAACCAAAGAGCCUGGUUCCCACCACUUCACCGUGUGCUGACUGUGUGCCAGGCACUGUUCAUACAUUGCCUCUUUAGUCCUUACUAUAACCCAAUAGGGCAGGACCUAAGCUGUCUUCAUUUUACAAAUGCAGAAACUGAGGGGGGUGUUUAGCGACUUGCCUAGUUAAUUUGAGCUAGAGCUGGUAUUUGAACACUGUCUGACUCCAAAGUCCAUAUUGUACCCUUGUUACUCAAAGUGUGGUCCAUGGACCUGUAGCACCACGGGUAUCACUUGAGAGCUUGUUAGAAAUGCAGAAUCUUGGGUCCUAUUCCAGACCUACUGAAUAAGAAUCUGCAUUUUAACAAGAUGCCCUGGUGAUUCACAUGUACAUUAAAAUUUAAGAAGUGCUGCUCUAAACUAUUUUGCUAUCCUUGCUCUCACCUGCUCCCCACUCCCACAGCUUUGAUGUCCCCACCUUGACCUGCCAAGAAAGGGCCAUUUCUAGGGAUGGGCCAGGAGCUCCAGUGGACUCAGUUCAAGCAUCUCCUCAUCCAUGAAGCCAGGCCCCAGGAGAAUUUGAACAGAUCUCUUUACCUGGGCCUAUUUCCAUCACAGCAAGUGUAACAGGCUGGAUAUAGGAUGGACAUUUUGAAGACAGGAAGCCACCAUUUGAGGAAGUGGAGCUUCAGACUCCCAGAUCUCAAAGAGUUUACCACUUUCAUCCAGCAAAUCUGGGGAAGCACAGGACCUUAUAUCAGGACCCCAGGACUCAGAGGCUAGAACAAGAUGGUGCCCAACCAUAACUCCCUACAUGUGUGGUUGAUGGCAUUGGUAUCUGGGGAACCAUGAUACCAAUGUGUUCAAGAACAGACAGCCCAGGAUUUCCCUGGCGGUCCAGUGGGUAAGACUCCACGCUCCCAAUGCAAAAGGGGCCCAGGUUCCAUCCCUGGUCAGUGAACUAGAUCCCGCAUGCCGCAACUAAGAAGUCCACAUGCUGCAACUAAAAGAUAACGCACGCUGCAGUGAAGAUCCCACAUGCUGCAACUAAGACCUGGCACAGCCAAAAUAAAUAAAUAUUUUUAGAAAAAGAAC
Molecule: non-coding RNA, 1989 nt
Organism: Kogia breviceps (pygmy sperm whale)
Lineage: Eukaryota; Metazoa; Chordata; Mammalia; Artiodactyla; Physeteridae
Source: RefSeq, a predicted model, not a curated record